CCCUGGAUACCAGAGCUGAGCAAGCCCCCCGAUCCACUUUUCUUGGAAGCCCUGGGGCUUACCGCCUGAACUUGAUUUUAUCAGUAUUACGCUCGCAAAGCUGUUUUAUUGACCGACAACGUGGAAUGCAAUAAAUGUUCGAGACAUCUGCACCCAGCAAUCGUUUCCUCUGUAGGCAGGUUGCCAGGAAGGCCACGACCCGCUCAAGCUCCUCUUGUGACGAGGACGCCACCUGAAACAGUCGGGCUGCAGUCGCCGCUGUCCUCCGGCUCCCACUCUGCUGGGGUCUCCCUGCUGACCCGGCUUCCCCAGCGCCUCUGGUUCUUCCCAGCCCGAUCUCUCUCCACUGUCAUCCUCAGUGCCAGCCUGUCUCCCACGCCAGCUCGUAAACUCCAGGGUGGCGACUUUGUCUCAUUUUCUUUUGUGUUCUGAGCACCUGACCUGGGCAGCCCUGGAGGCAGCUGUGUGAGGGACACCUUCCGUCAUGGGAUGAUGCUGCCGGAGGGCUCUCACCGGAUACGGCCCCUCGACUUUGGACUUCCCAACCUCCAGAACGGC
Molecule: long non-coding RNA, 558 nt
Filed under: Pan troglodytes (chimpanzee)
Lineage: Eukaryota; Metazoa; Chordata; Mammalia; Primates; Hominidae
Description: long non-coding RNA NONPTRT016464
Source: RNAcentral